Nycticebus coucang (slow loris) is the source of this 7913-nucleotide RNA transcript. It is a transcript of the gene named mediator complex subunit 12, with no coding region annotated. Lineage: Eukaryota; Metazoa; Chordata; Mammalia; Primates; Lorisidae. The transcript has 42 exons. The record is from RefSeq and is a predicted model, not a curated record.
UCGGCUUCCCUCGGUAGUUUCCGGCAAUGAUCGAGAGUUUCUAACGUGCCCCCUUGUUGUCUCUCGGCUGGCGUCCUCCCUUACCGCCCCCCUCCCCGCCUUUUCGGCUCCCUCUCCCCCUUCCCCCCACCACCCGGCAAGCCUGGUCUUGCUGGCGCCUUUGGCGCUACGGGCUGGGCAAGAUGGCGGCUUUCGGGAUCUUGAGCUACGAACACCGGCCCCUGAAGCGGCCGCGGCUGGGGCCUCCCGAUGUAUACCCUCAAGAUCCCAAACAGAAGGAGGAUGAACUGACGGCCUUGAAUGUAAAACAAGGUUUCAAUAACCAGCCUGCUGUCUCUGGGGAUGAACAUGGCAGUGCUAAGAACGUCAACUUCAAUCCUGCCAAGAUCAGUUCCAACUUCAGCAGCAUUAUUGCAGAGAAGUUACGUUGUAACACCCUUCCUGACACUGGUCGCAGGAAGCCCCAAGUGAACCAGAAGGACAACUUCUGGCUGGUGACUCCACGAUCCCAAAGUGCCAUUAACACCUGGUUCACUGACCUGGCUGGCACCAAGCCCCUCACACAACUAGCUAAAAAGGUCCCCAUUUUCAGUAAGAAGGAAGAAGUGUUUGGGUACUUAGCCAAAUACACAGUGCCUGUGAUGCGGGCUGCCUGGCUCAUUAAGAUGACCUGUGCCUACUAUGCAGCAAUGUCUGAGACCAAGGUUAAGAAGAGACAUGUUGACCCCUUCACGGAAUGGACUCAGAUUACCACCAAGUACUUAUGGGAACAGCUACAGAAAAUGGCUGAAUACUACCGGCCAGGGACUGCAGGAAGUGGGGGCUGUGGUUCCACAAUAGGGCCCUUGCCCCAUGAUGUAGAGGUGGCAAUCCGACAGUGGGAUUACAAUGAGAAGCUGGCCAUGUUCAUGUUUCAGGAUGGAAUGCUGGACAGACAUGAGUUCCUGACCUGGGUGCUUGAGUGUUUUGAGAAAAUCCGCCCUGGAGAGGAUGAAUUGCUUAAACUGCUGCUGCCUUUACUGCUUCGAUACUCUGGGGAAUUUGUUCAGUCUGCAUACCUCUCCCGCCGCCUUGCCUACUUCUGUACCCGGAGACUGGCCCUGCAGCUGGAUGGUGUGAGCAGCCACUCAUCUCAUGUUAUGUCCUCUCAGUCAACAAGCACGCUGCCUACCACCCCUGCUCCUCAGCCCCCAACUAGCAGCACACCCUCAACUCCCUUUAGUGACCUGCUUAUGUGCCCUCAGCACCGGCCCCUGGUUUUUGGCCUCAGCUGUAUCCUACAGACCAUCCUCCUGUGUUGUCCUAGUGCCCUGGUUUGGCACUACUCACUGACUGACAGCCGGAUUAAGACUGGCUCACCGCUUGACCACUUGCCUAUUGCCCCCUCCAACCUGCCCAUGCCAGAGGGGAACAGUGCCUUCACUCAGCAGGUCCGUGCGAAGUUGCGGGAGAUUGAGCAGCAGAUCAAGGAGCGAGGACAGGCAGUUGAGGUUCGCUGGUCUUUUGACAAGUGUCAGGAAGCUACUGCAGGCUUCACCAUUGGACGGGUGCUCCAUACUUUGGAAGUGCUGGACAGCCAUAGUUUUGAGCGCUCUGACUUUAGCAACUCUCUUGACUCCCUUUGUAACCGAAUCUUUGGAUUGGGACCUAGCAAGGAUGGGCAUGAGAUCUCUUCAGAUGAUGAUGCUGUGGUAUCAUUACUAUGUGAAUGGGCUGUCAGCUGCAAGCGUUCUGGCCGGCAUCGUGCUAUGGUGGUAGCCAAGCUCCUGGAGAAGAGACAGGCAGAGAUUGAGGCUGAGCGUUGUGGAGAAUCAGAAGCAGCAGAUGAGAAAGGUUCCAUCGCCUCUGGCUCUCUUUCUGCUCCUAGUGCUCCCAUUUUCCAAGAUGUUCUACUGCAGUUUCUGGAUACACAGGCUCCCAUGCUGACGGACCCCCGAAGUGAGAGUGAGCGGGUGGAAUUCUUUAACUUAGUACUGCUGUUCUGUGAACUGAUCCGACAUGAUGUUUUCUCCCACAACAUGUAUACUUGCACUCUCAUAUCCCGAGGGGACCUUGCCUUUGGAGCCCCUGGUCCCCGGCCUCCCUCUCCCUUUGAUGAUCCUGCUGAUGACCCAGAGCGCAAGGAGGUUGAAGGCAGCAGCAGUAGCAAGCUGGAGGACCCAGGACUCUCAGAAUCUAUGGACAUUGACCCAAGUUCCAGUGUACUCUUUGAGGACAUGGAGAAGCCUGAUUUCUCAUUGUUUUCCCCUACUAUGACCUGUGAAGGGAAGGGCAGUCCAUCCCCUGAGAAACCAGAUGUUGAGAAGGAAGUGAAGCCUCCACCCAAGGAGAAGAUUGAAGGGACCCUUGGAGUUCUUUAUGACCAGCCACGACAUGUGCAGUAUGCUACACACUUUCCCAUCCCCCAGGAGGAGUCAUGCAGCCAUGAGUGCAACCAGCGGUUGGUCGUACUGUUUGGGGUGGGAAAGCAGCGAGAUGAUGCCCGCCAUGCCAUCAAGAAGAUUACCAAGGAUAUCCUGAAGGUUCUGAACCGCAAGGGAACAGCAGAAACUGACCAGCUUGCUCCUAUUGUGCCUCUGAAUCCUGGAGACCUGACAUUCUUAGGUGGGGAGGACGGGCAGAAGCGGAGGCGCAACCGGCCUGAAGCCUUCCCCACUGCUGAAGAUAUCUUUGCUAAGUUCCAGCACCUUUCACAUUAUGACCAACAUCAGGUCACAGCUCAGGUCUCCCGGAAUGUCCUGGAGCAGAUCACAAGCUUUGCCCUUGGCAUGUCAUACCACUUGCCUCUGGUGCAGCAUGUGCAGUUCAUCUUCGACCUCAUGGAAUAUUCACUCAGCAUCAGUGGCCUCAUCGACUUUGCCAUUCAGCUGCUGAAUGAACUGAGCGUAGUUGAGGCCGAGCUGCUUCUCAAAUCCUCAGAUCUGGUGGGUAGCUAUACUACCAGCCUGUGUCUGUGCAUCGUGGCUGUCCUGAGGCACUAUCAUGCCUGCCUCAUUCUCAACCAGGACCAGAUGGCACAAGUCUUUGAGGGGCUAUGUGGCGUAGUGAAGCAUGGGAUGAACCGGUCAGAUGGCUCCUCUGCAGAACGCUGUAUCCUUGCUUAUCUCUAUGAUCUGUACACCUCCUGUAGCCAUUUAAAGAGCAAAUUUGGGGAGCUCUUCAGUGACUUUUGCUCAAAGGUGAAGAAUACUAUCUACUGCAAUGUAGAGCCAUCGGAAUCAAAUAUGCGCUGGGCACCUGAGUUCAUGAUUGACACUCUGGAGAACCCUGCAGCUCACACCUUCACCUACACAGGGCUAGGCAAGAGUCUUAGUGAGAACCCUGCUAACCGCUACAGCUUUGUCUGCAAUGCCCUUAUGCACGUCUGUGUGGGGCACCAUGAUCCCGAUAGGGUGAAUGACAUUGCAAUCCUGUGUGCAGAACUGACCGGCUACUGCAAGUCACUGAGUGCAGAAUGGCUUGGAGUACUUAAGGCCUUGUGCUGCUCCUCUAACAAUGGCACUUGUGGUUUCAACGACCUCCUCUGCAAUGUAGAUGUGAGUGACCUGUCUUUUCAUGACUCCCUGGCUACUUUUGUUGCCAUCCUCAUUGCUCGGCAGUGUUUGCUCUUAGAAGAUCUGAUUCGCUGUGCUGCCAUCCCUUCGCUCCUUAAUGCUGCUUGUAGUGAACAGGACUCUGAGCCUGGGGCCCGGCUUACCUGCCGCAUCCUCCUCCACCUUUUCAAGACACCACAACUCAAUCCUUGCCAGUCUGAUGGAAACAAACCUACAGUAGGAAUCCGCUCCUCCUGUGACCGCCACCUGCUGGCUGCCUCCCAGAACCGCAUCGUGGAUGGAGCUGUGUUUGCUGUUCUCAAGGCUGUGUUUGUACUUGGGGAUGCGGAACUGAAGGGUUCGGGCUUCACUGUGACAGGAGGAACAGAAGAACUUCCAGAAGAGGAGGGAGGAGGUGGCAGUGGCGGUCGAAGGCAGGGUAGCCGCAACAUCUCUGUGGAGACAGCCAGUCUGGAUGUCUAUGCCAAGUACGUGCUACGCAGCAUCUGCCAACAGGAAUGGGUAGGAGAACGUUGCCUUAAGUCUCUGUGUGAGGACAGCAAUGACCUACAAGAUCCAGUGUUGAGUAGUGCCCAGGCCCAGCGCCUCAUGCAGCUUAUCUGCUAUCCACAUCGACUGCUGGACAAUGAGGAUGGGGAAAACCCUCAGCGACAACGCAUUAAGCGUAUUCUUCAGAACUUGGACCAGUGGACCAUGCGCCAGUCUUCCUUGGAAUUGCAGCUCAUGAUCAAGCAGACCCCUAACAACGAGAUGAACUCCCUCUUGGAGAACAUUGCCAAGGCCACAAUUGAGGUUUUCCAACAGUCAGCAGAGACAGGGUCAUCUUCUGGAAAUGCUGCAAGCAACAUGCCCAGCAGCAACAAGACCAAGCCUGUGCUCAGCUCUCUAGAGCGCUCCGGUGUAUGGCUGGUUGCCCCCCUCAUUGCUAAACUGCCCACCUCAGUCCAGGGACAUGUAUUAAAGGCUGCUGGGGAGGAAUUAGAGAAGGGUCAGCACCUGGGUUCCUCUUCCCGCAAAGAACGGGAUCGACAAAAGCAGAAGAGCAUGUCCCUGUUGAGCCAGCAGCCCUUCUUAUCCCUGGUGCUGACAUGUCUGAAAGGGCAGGAUGAGCAACGUGAGGGACUCCUUACCUCCCUCUACAGCCAGGUGCACCAGAUUGUGAAUAAUUGGCGAGAUGACCAGUACUUAGAUGAUUGUAAACCAAAGCAGCUCAUGCAUGAGGCACUCAAACUGCGGCUCAACCUGGUGGGGGGCAUGUUUGACACGGUGCAGCGCAGCACCCAGCAGACCACAGAGUGGGCCAUGCUCCUCCUGGAGAUCAUCAUCAGUGGCACUGUCGACAUGCAGUCCAACAAUGAGCUCUUUACUACUGUGUUGGACAUGCUGAGUGUGCUUAUCAAUGGGACAUUGGCUGCAGAUAUGUCUAGCAUCUCACAAGGCAGCAUGGAGGAAAACAAACGUGCAUACAUGAACCUGGUGAAGAAGCUGCAGAAAGAAUUGGGGGAGCGCCAGUCGGACAGUCUGGAAAAGGUUCGCCAGCUGCUGCCACUGCCUAAGCAGACCCGAGAUGUCAUCACAUGUGAGCCACAGGGCUCCCUCAUCGACACCAAGGGCAACAAGAUUGCUGGCUUCGAUUCUAUCUUCAAGAAGGAGGGUUUACAGGUUUCCACAAAACAAAAGAUCUCUCCCUGGGAUCUUUUUGAGGGGUUGAAGCCAUCAGCACCACUUUCUUGGGGCUGGUUUGGAACAGUCCGGGUUGACCGACGAGUGGCUCGAGGAGAGGAACAGCAGCGGUUGCUGCUCUAUCACACACACCUGAGACCCCGGCCCCGUGCCUAUUACCUGGAGCCACUGCCACUACCACCAGAAGAUGAGGAGCCCCCUGCUCCCACGCUGCUAGAGCCUGAGAAAAAGGCUCCAGAGCCCCCUAAAACAGAUAAACCUGGGGCUGCUCCUCCCAGUACUGAGGAGCGCAAGAAGAAGUCCACCAAGGGCAAGAAGCGUAGCCAGCCAGCCACCAAAACAGAGGAUUAUGGAAUGGGCCCAGGUCGGAGUGGUCCCUAUGGUGUGACAGUGCCACCGGACCUCCUGCACCACACAAAUCCUAGUUCUAUAUCCCACAUUAGCUAUAGACAGAGCUCCAUAAGCCUGUAUACCCAGAACCAGCCACUACCUGCAGGUGGCCCUCGUGUGGACCCAUACCGCCCUGUGCGAUUACCAAUGCAGAAGCUGCCAACCCGACCAACUUACCCUGGAGUGCUACCCACAACUAUGACUAGCGUCAUAGGCUUAGAACCUUCCUCUUAUAAGACCUCUGUGUACCGGCAGCAGCAACCUACAGUGCCCCAAGGACAGCGCCUUCGCCAACAGCUCCAGGCAAAGAUACAGAGUCAGGGGAUGUUGGGGCAGUCAUCUGUCCAUCAGAUGACUCCCAGCUCUUCCUACGGUCUACAGACCUCCCAGGGCUAUACUCCUUAUGUUUCUCAUGUGGGAUUGCAGCAACACACAGGCCCUGCAGGUACCAUGGUGCCCCCCAGCUAUUCCAGCCAGCCUUAUCAGAGCACCCACCCUUCUACCAAUCCUACUCUUGUAGAUCCUACCCGCCACCUGCAACAGCGGCCCAGUGGCUAUGUGCACCAGCAGGCCCCAGCCUAUGGACAUGGACUAACCUCCACUCAAAGGUACACGAAGUAGUGGUGAGCUGAGAAGAGACACAGAGGCUUUUGCCUGUGACUGAAGGUGAUGGGACUACUCAGAACUUUUGGAGAUGUUGAAAACACUUAAUUUGUUUGGCCACAUAAUCCAUAACCACAAAAGGCUGGAGCUGGAAGUGAGUCUGGAGACCAUUCGUCUCACAUCUACUUCCUUGACAUUUCUUUGAGGCUUAGAGAGGGGAAAUUGUUUCUCCAACUCUGAUAAGAAAAGAUCUGGAGUUCAUAAAUACACUACAUGAUAAGAAGUCAUAAAGCUCAUAUUAAAAAGUUGAGUACCAGGGGGCGGCGCCUGUGGCUUAAGGAGUAGGGCGCUGGCCCCAUAUGCCGGAGGUGAUGGGUUCAAACCUGGCCCUGGCAAAAAACUGCAAAAAAAAAAAAAAAAAAAGUUGAAUACUAGGAAGGAUUAAUGAACAUGAUCCUUCCACCAUGGUUAGUCAAGCCUUACUUAAGACUUUGUAACCAUAUCUUGAGGCUCCAGAGCUUAGGAUUUGUAACACUGGAGCUGUGCUGGGACUGGUUGAGAUGAGGAAAGAUAGCAAAAUAAAUAAAUAAAAUACCUAGUCCCUCAUCACAAAGAAUUUUUACUAAAGUUGAGGAGAUAAGACUUACAUAGAACCUGUAGAGAACACUCUGAGUAAAGAUAUAAUCAGAUGUGCAGUUGUGUACUGUGAAGCCAAGUCAGAAUUCAGAAAAAAAUAUGGGGUAAUAACCACGUGGGCCUGAGUCAUCAGAGAAAGUUUUAUGAAGGAGAUUAGACUUGAGUUGACCUUUGAAGGUUAGGUAUGAUUGGGAUUUGUGGAGAAGAGAAGGAAGGACAUUCCAGGUAGAGGACGUAUGUAGUAUGAAAAAGACAUGGGGACCAGAAUGAGUAGGGUAUCUGGAGAGAAGAGCUAGGAUGGCAUGUCAUAUUUGUGUUGGGGAAGUAGUAAAGGCUAGGGGGGUGCAGAUUGACAGAUGGCUUUGAAUGCUCAGCUGCAGAAUUGAGACACAAUCCCAGAAAGGGCUCUUUAGAUCAAGAAAGUGAUAGGAGGAGUUGAACAUGUUGAGAAAUUCAUGUGGAAUGUGUGGAUAUGAUGCAUAGUGGAAGGUGGGAGAGGACUUGAGACAGGGAGCCCAGCCCACAGAUUGUUGCAGUGAUGUACAGAUGUAGAACAACUUGAAAUGUUAUUGAGGAAUAACCACAGCAACAACAGAAAACCUCAAUGAGUGUUUAUCUAUCUUGCCUAUCGUGUGCUAAGACUGUUUUUCACUUUCAUAAGAGAAAAAUAGCUUAAAGCAGAAUUGAAAAAUUUCUACCCAUUAAAGUCAUGAGACAAUAAGUGAAAUUGAAUUCUUUAACCUAGAAAUUUAUCAGAUCCUAAAAAGGGCUCUUCUGGUUAGUGACAAAAGGAAUGAAUGAAGUAACUUGUUAAUAUUCUUUUAGGUCAGGGAUCCAAGGUUUUCCUUACCCCUUUUCUCUCCCCUCCCCCAUGCCUUGAUCUCUGGACCUCUUGUCUUUGGAGGUUUUCACACCAGACACUGCAGCAGACACCAAUGAUAAGUACCAUGACUCCACUGAGUGCCCAGGGUGUCCAGGCAGGUGUCCGCUCAACUUCCAUCCUACCUGAGCAACAGCAGCAGCAGCAGCAACAACAACAGCAACAAC